Molecule: long non-coding RNA, 1676 nt
Filed under: Anthonomus grandis grandis
Lineage: Eukaryota; Metazoa; Arthropoda; Insecta; Coleoptera; Curculionidae
Description: uncharacterized LOC126740228
Source: RNAcentral
AUUGUCUGUAAGCGGACGCGCGAUUCCAAAAUAUUAGCGAAUUUUUACGACUGGGCUACAGUGGUAGCCCGUGCGCCUAAUCCCAGAAAUAAAAUAGCAAGAUGUCCCAAGAAAAGAGGAGGCGUAUUGAAACAUUCGAAGAUCCAGCUGCUUGGUCACAAUGGUUUGACCAAAGCGAGGUGAUGACUGAGAGUGAAGAUGAAGUUGAUAAUCCUGAAGAAGAUACAGUAAACGAAAGUGAGCAUGAUUCUUUAUCGGAUCAAGAGGCUAUUGAGAAUAGUUCCGGAAAUAAAUCUGACGAUGACGGUGAGUCUGAACAACCAAAUAAUUAUUUUACGGGGAAGGACAAAAAAACAAAAUGAAGAAAAGAAAGUCCUAAUGUUCAUAUAAGAACCAGAGCUCAUAACAACAUUACCCAUUUGCCUGGUCCGAAGGGAAUUGCUAGAAAUGCAGAAAUAACGGGGAUUGAGUGUUUAAAUCUUUUACUAGAUGAGUCUAUUAUACAAACCAUUACUACCUGUACCAAUAUUUAUAUUGAAAGUAUAAAAGAACGAUUUAAACGAGAACGGGAUGCAAGAAAUACAGAUGAAAGAGAGAUAAGGGCAUUUAUAGGGAUUCUUUAUUUAAUCGGUGUAUUAGGAUUAUCUCGAAAAAACUUACAUAAAAUUUGAGACAACUCAAAACGAAGUGGCGUAGAAGUAUGUUACUUGGCAAUGAGUGAGAAACGUUUUAGGUUUCUUUUGCGAUGCAUGCGUUUUGAUGACAUUAGAGACAGAAAUCUAAGAAGAGAAAUUGAUAAAAUGGCUCCUAUUAGGGAGAUUUUUGAACAAUUUCUGGCCAAUUUUCAAAGAUAUUUUAUUGCAAGUGAAUAUUUGACUGUCAAUGAGCAAGUUCUGGCAUUUCGUGGACGUUGCUCAUUCAAGCAAUAUAUACCAAGUAAACCGGCUCGAUAUGGUGUAAAAGUGUUUGCUUUGGUGGACGUCAAAUCUGGUUAUGCAUUCAACCUUGAGACGUAUGUAGGAACCCAACCUGAAGGACCAUAUAAAUUUAAAAAUUCCGGAGAAGAAAUUGUCCUUAGAUUAGUAGAACCAGUGGCAAACACUAACCGCAACAUAACUGGCGAUAACUGGUUUACUAGUGUGCCAUUGGUUAAGAAAUUUCUUAUUGAAAAAAAGCUAACUUAUAUUGGCACAAUGCGAAAAAAUAAAGUAGAAUUACCAAAGGAACUUUUGCCAAACAAAAGUAAAGAAGUGGGAUCUUCUAUUUUUGGAUUCCAGAAAGACUGCACAAUUGUGUCGUAUUGUCCAAAGAAAAGUAAAUCUGUAAUGUUGAUUUAUACUAUUAUAUUAAUAUGCACCAUGAUAAUGCAAUUGAUGCUGAAACUGGAGACGCUAGAAAACUGAAAUAAUCACAAUGUAUAACCAAACGAAGUUUGCCGUGGAUCGACUAGACCAAUUGUGUGCAAAAUAUGAUGUAUCAAGAAAUACUCGCCGAUAUCCGAUGGUAAUCUUUUAUGACCUGCUAAAUAUUUCAGCAAUAAAUGCUUUAUGCAUUUAUAAGUCUAAUAAUUGGAACAGAAAAAUAGCACGGUCAGAUUUUAUAGAAAAACUUGCAUGGGAAUUGAUUAGGCCUCAAAUUGAAUUUAGAGCUACACUUAUCCAAGUCUCUCCGGAAUU